UUAGUUGGUGGAGUGAUUUGUCUGGUUGAUUCCGUUAACGAACGAGACCCCCGCCUGCUAAAUAGUGAGGUUAAUGAUUUUCAUUGACUAUCUCUUCUUAGAGGGACUUUUGGUGACUAACUAAAGGAAGUUGGGGGCAAUAACAGG
This 147-nucleotide ribosomal RNA is filed under the name uncultured eukaryote. RNAcentral's name for it is "partial small subunit ribosomal RNA". It matches the Rfam family "Eukaryotic small subunit ribosomal RNA", at positions 1294 to 1460 of the family's 1831-position model. The record is from RNAcentral.